Molecule: RNA transcript, 2321 nt
Organism: Hibiscus syriacus
Lineage: Eukaryota; Viridiplantae; Streptophyta; Magnoliopsida; Malvales; Malvaceae
Gene name: protein PHOSPHATE STARVATION RESPONSE 2-like
Exons: 12
Source: RefSeq, a predicted model, not a curated record
UUCUCCAGAAGAUCUAUUUUCCUAUCCUCUUGCCUUGGAUCUCCUUCUGGACUUGCUGAACCGCGUUAUAAAAAUCGGAACAGUAUAGAACCGGAACCUGAGCCGGAUCUGGUGAAAAAGAAACCUUCACGGAAGGUUAAAGGUGAAGUGGCACCUCAUUACGGAAUGUCACUGCCAUGCAUGUCUUCCGGUACCGGUAGCAGUUCCAAAAUUGAUACCGACGCCGCGGCGGCUGCCGCAGCAGCGCAUCACUCUCCUUCUCGUUGCCUCUCUGGCUUUAGCUUCCUUCCGGGUAACGUUAGUUUUAGAUUAAGCAGAGCCAAUAGUUUGGGGUCGUCUAGGGCAUAUUCUACGAGCCUUGCGAUAUUGAACCGCGAUGACAACUCCGAUACAUUUGAAGAACAUCCACACAUCUUCCCCAAAAUUCUUCUUCUUCUUCUUCUAUAAACUUAUAUUCUUCCGUAAUCUUCAAUGAUGGGGGCACAGAUAGGGAUAGGGAUAGACGUGUUGGAGUUGGAAGUCGAGAACCUGUUGAAAGGAAUGUGCAUUUUAGCAGAACUUUGAGUGUUGGAAGGCUUCGUGACCGUGUUCUUCGUAGAGCUUCUAUAUCUGAUUUCACGUUAUGCCCUUUACAGCAAAACAGCAACCAGACUCACGCAUUUGCAGCAGACGGAGAGUCGUGACAAUCAGCUACCUCUCCUUCCAGUUCCACAUCCACAUCCACUGCCCCCGUCAUUCCAAACCGUCCCGUUUUUAACAUUCAGGAUCAUGAAGUUGAAACCUUCCGGUCUAGAGAAGCCAGAUAUCAUGAUCUACUCGAGCACAGAUCCAAUUUCCUUGAAAGAAGGAGAAGAAUACGAUCUCAGGUUCGAGCUCUUCAACGGCUAGGAAGCCGUUUUGAAAACUUUUCUGGACAUGAAAGGUUUUGUAUAUUAUCUGGUCAACAUAGAACUGGUCGAUGCACUUGUCGUAUAAAUAAUCGAGAUUCCAAUUCAAAUGAUCAGACAAGUGUUAGGGCUAGUAUAUCCAGAAUCGUUAUGUUAGCUGAAGCUUUAUUGAGGUUCUGGAUGAAAUUCACCAGCAGUCCGUGGUUUUAUCUUCUCGAGCUUCUCUAUCUUCAAUUGGAUCUGUUCCUGCACCUAAUGAAGUUGUGGAAUCGCUUCCUGUCAAAGCAUACAACAUGUCACACAAACUUACAAUGAAGAGGCUGCACAAUGUUACAUAUGCCUUGUGGAGUAUGAGGAGGCGGAUAGCAUGCGGGUAUUGCCUUGUAAUCACGAAUUCCACAGAACUUGUAUAAACAAGUGGCUCAAGGAGAUUCAUAGGUUCUUAAAAAUGACUCAAGAUGUGGAGAUGAAAGAACAACCAGCUCCUUCCAAUUCCGUUACUUCCUCUUCUCCAUCCACUUUGCACCAUUUGAAGGAAAUUACGUUUUAGACUAGCCAAUCAGGAUGUUUCAAUCCUGGAGCCAUCUAAGGCUAGUUUUUUCCCGACAAUGACCAAGAUAGUGGGAACUUUAGGUCCAAGGUCUCGAUCUGUUGAUGUUAUUUCUGGUUGUCUUAAAGCUGGAAUGUUUGAAGCAAGGAGACAAGUCGUGGAGGCAACGGAGAGAUUAGGUGGUCAAUACAGUACUAGUUUACAUCCUCAAUGCACCCAUUUGGUGGUCCAUAUAUCAUUUCUCGUAUUGUUUGGUUUUAAAUCACUUAGAUUUUAGCUUAAUGUGAGACUUGGCUGGCUUGGGAUAAAGAGAAUGCAAAUGGAUAUUAUGUGUACUGUGAUGAUAAUAAGGUUUCCUAUUGUCUUGUCUUUGUAUUGUCUCUGCUGCUGCAAGUGCAACUGUUAUGAUGAGCCUUAAUAUUAGUUACAGCGUUAGUGGACGCCCCAGCAAAAUAACGAAUGCGGUGGACACCAGAACUUCAUGAAGCCUUUGUUGAAGCUGUCAACCAAUUGGGAGACAGUGAAAGGCGUGUUGAAGCUUAUGAAAGUUGAAGGCUUGACAAUUUAUCAUGUUAAAAGUCAUUUGCAGAAAUACAGAACAACUAGAUACAGACCAGAGCCAUCCAAAGCAAUUGGUUCAAAUAAGGAGUGGAAACCAAAGGUGAUCAGUUCUAAUUUUGGGAAGGGUUCGGGAACAGCUGGUGCAUCUGAUGUUCCUACUAGUUUAGUUGAAGCCAAUGCUCAUUCACAGCCUGUUUCAAGAGUUCUCGAUUCUGAAGAAGCAACUUCAAAAUUGCAGAAGAAGCUAGAGGAGUUGCAUCUCCCGCAACGUCGACAUGUUUGAUAUUCGCAAAGAAUGGGUAUCUUAUGUGGAAAACUUUAUU